UCAGUGUUCGACUAAGCCAUGCAAGUCAAAUGUUCUUCGUGAACAUGGCGGACUGCUCAGUAACACGUGGAUAACCUGCCCUUAGGAUUGGCAUAACACCGGGAAACUGGUGAUAAUACCGAAUAGACCAUUUAUGCUGGAAUGCUUUUUGGUUCAAAGGCUUCGGCUGCCUAAGGAUGGAUCUGCGGCCUAUCAGGUAGUAGUGGGUGUAAUGUACCUACUAGCCUACGACGGGUACGGGUUGUGAGAGCAAGAGCCCGGAGAUAGAUUCUGAGACAUGAAUCCAGGCCCUACGGGGCGCAGCAGGCGCGAAAACUUUACAAUGCGGGAAACCGCGAUAAGGGGACACUGAGUGCCAGCAUAUUAUGUUGGCUGUCCACAUGUAUAAAAACCAUGUGUUAGCAAGGGCCGGGCAAGACCGGUGCCAGCCGCCGCGGUAACACCGGCGGCCCGAGUGGUGAUCACUUUUAUUGGGUCUAAAGGGUCCGUAGCCGGUUUAAUCAGUCUUCUGGGAAAUCUGACAGCUCAACUGUUAGGCUUUCAGGGGAUACUGUUAGACUUGGGACCGGGAGAGGUAAGAGGUACUACAGGGGUAGGAGUGAAAUCUUGUAAUCCCUGUGGGACCACCAGUGGCGAAGGCGUCUUACCAGAACGGGUCCGACGGUGAGGGACGAAAGCUGGGGGCACGAACCGGAUUAGAUACCCGGGUAGUCCCAGCCGUAAACGAUGCUCGCUAGGUGUCAGGGACGGUGCGACCGUUUCUGGUGCCGCAGGGAAGCCGUGAAGCGAGCCACCUGGGAAGUACGGCCGCAAGGCUGAAACUUAAAGGAAUUGGCGGGGGAGCACUACAACGGGUGGAGCCUGCGGUUUAAUUGGACUCAACGCCGGAAAACUCACCGGGGGCGACAGCAAUAUGUAGGUCAGGCUAAAGACCUUACCCGAAUCGCUGAGAGGAGGUGCAUGGCCGUCGUCAGUUCGUACUGUGAAGCAUCCUGUUAAGUCAGGCAACGAGCGAGACCCGUGCCCACUGUUGCCAGCAUGUCCUUCGGGAUGAUGGGUACUCUGUGGGGACCGCCGCUGCUAAAGCGGAGGAAGGUGCGGGCUACGGUAGGUCAGUAUGCCCCGAAUCUCCCGGGCUACACGCGGGCUACAAUGAUUGGGACAAUGGGUCCCUACUCCGAA
RNAcentral lists this ribosomal RNA (1182 nucleotides) under uncultured archaeon. Its description in RNAcentral is "bacterial SSU rRNA". It matches the Rfam family "Archaeal small subunit ribosomal RNA", at positions 33 to 1215 of the family's 1478-position model. The record is from RNAcentral.